UUAUGGGAAGAGGGAAAGAAAGAUCAGGGGAAGAAGCGGGGUAGAGGAAUUGGUCAACUCAUCAGGCUCAUGACCUGAAGACUGUAGGUUCGAAUCAGGGCGCGCGCUACGGCUUUGACCUAACGGCCUCCGUUUGCUGGAAUCGGAAUAGUUGAGAACAAAGUGGCGAACGGGUGCGUAACACGUGGGAAUGGGGGCCUGCACAGGCGGUGGAGCAUGUGGUUUAAUUCGAUACAAUGCGCAAACCUUACUAGCCCUUGACAU
Molecule: ribosomal RNA, 264 nt
Filed under: Triticum aestivum (bread wheat)
Lineage: Eukaryota; Viridiplantae; Streptophyta; Magnoliopsida; Poales; Poaceae
Description: partial small subunit ribosomal RNA
Source: RNAcentral